RNAcentral lists this ribosomal RNA (253 nucleotides) under uncultured bacterium. RNAcentral's name for it is "partial 16S ribosomal RNA". It matches the Rfam family "Bacterial small subunit ribosomal RNA", at positions 524 to 776 of the family's 1533-position model. The record is from RNAcentral.
UACGGAGGGCGCGAGCGUUAAUCGGAAUUACUGGGCGUAAGGCGCGCGUAGGCUGUUGUGUAAGUUGGGGGUGAAAUCCCACGGCUCAACCGUGGAACAGCCCUUGAUACUGCGCGACUUGAAUCCGGGAGAGGGUGGCGGAAUUCCAGGUGUAGGAGUGAAAUCCGUAGAUAUCUGGAGGAACAUCAGUGGCGAAGGCGGCCACCUGGACCGGUAUUGACGCUGAGGCGCGAAAGCGUGGGGAGCAAACAGG